UUUAGCGGCGGUCUUCAUCCUGAGCUGAGGUUAUGCUCGGGAUGGCAGUGUUCCUGUUUAGAGAUGUGUCCUCAGCAACCCACAACAGCUUCCCAAACCUGCUGCUGACUGCUGUGAGUAUAUGCCGGCCAUGUUCUUGCUCAAUUGGUUAGAUGUUUUUUGUACUGUUUAUGAUGAUUUGAUUUUAUCAAUGGGAAUCUCUCUGAUUAAGAAUGAGGGAGUAUCUUUGUACUGACUCGGUGCA
This is a long non-coding RNA of Spea bombifrons (plains spadefoot toad), 244 nucleotides long. RefSeq lists it as uncharacterized. NCBI's taxonomy places the organism in Eukaryota, Metazoa, Chordata, Amphibia, Anura, Pelobatidae. The record is from RefSeq and is a predicted model, not a curated record. The transcript is spliced from 3 exons.